This is a long non-coding RNA of Eupeodes corollae, 1131 nucleotides long. RefSeq lists it as uncharacterized. The record is from RefSeq and is a predicted model, not a curated record. NCBI's taxonomy places the organism in Eukaryota, Metazoa, Arthropoda, Insecta, Diptera, Syrphidae. The transcript is spliced from 2 exons.
GCAUGCUUAUAGAUUACAUAAAAAUAUAAAAUUGUUUAAACCAAACUAAAACUAAAAUAGGUACUUAUACUUACUUACAGCUGUACCUAAAAACACCACCAAAAUACCCCAAAUACUUACCUUUAAUCACUCACCUAUAAAUGAAAUCUUCUAAAAUACUUAACUUCGAAACCUACUUACCUACCUACUGACCAAAAAUACCACAGUGUUAUAUAAUAAAUAUAAAUUGAACUAAUUACGCACGCUUGCGCUGCCAGCUUAAAAUAAUGUGCCUAACCCAUAAUAUUCUCUGGGUGGUACAAAUGGAACGCAACCCCAUUAUUAAUUAGUUCUAAAGGAACUUACAUCCAUGUUGUUCUUUUGUUCACCCGUUCCGGUUAGAAGGAAAAUGGCCACGAAGAAGGUUACCGAUUAAAAGAAAGUUAAAGCCAAAUUCUUUUUUACAAGUUGUCCGAACCAAACGGAUGGGUAGAUCUCCUCUGCAGUCGAGUAAGUUUCCAAAAAAACAAUUUACAGCUUGGCCUGGGACGUUCAAUAGAUAAUAAGGCCAUAGCUGGUAUUCUAUUAAUUAAAGAUUCGAGUAGUGAUUAUAUAAAAUAAAAGAGAAUAAAAAAAAAAGUAAGCUGCAAGACUGCGACACACUGCGCGGCGAUAGGGAAAUUUCUCGAUCGUCGACACUUAGUAAUCCAAUCAGAAAAGGUUUAUUCCUAAUUGAGUGGCAUCCCCCCAUAGGGGGGAUUCGCGAAUAUUGGCUGCGCCACCUAUCAAACAGUAGCGGUAAUUGCCAGGACAUUUUUACUGGAAGCGACAGGCCAACAUAUUCCAAUCAAAGAAGGGGCAAGAGAAGAAUUAAAAACUAAACAAAACUCAAAAUUUAAUUCAGUGCUUUAAGAUUAGAUCAGUUAAAGAUAAGAAGUAAAGAUAUGUGUGGAGAUAGACGUUGGUGUAGUGUAUCUCACUUAAAUAUUUAAAGUAAAGAAAAAAAAAUAAGAAAAGAAACAUAUUUAGAUAUAUAUAUAUAAAAGUAAAAAGCAAAAAAAAAAAAAUCGAUAAAAUUACAGUCGAAAGAAACAGAACAAAAAAGGAAAAAGAAAAGUGAGUUUGUACAAAUGCAAAUUAUAGGAGUGCGAA